RNAcentral lists this ribosomal RNA (725 nucleotides) under uncultured bacterium. Its description in RNAcentral is "bacterial SSU rRNA". It matches the Rfam family "Bacterial small subunit ribosomal RNA", at positions 771 to 1501 of the family's 1533-position model. The record is from RNAcentral.
AACAGGAUUAGAUACCCUGGUAGUCCACGCCCUAAACGAUGUCUACUAGUUGUCGGGACUUAAUUGUCUUGGUAACGCAGCUAACGCGUGAAGUAGACCGCCUGGGGAGUACGGUCGCAAGAUUAAAACUCAAAGGAAUUGACGGGGACCCGCACAAGCGGUGGAUGAUGUGGAUUAAUUCGAUGCAACGCGAAAAACCUUACCUACCCUUGACAUGGCAGGAAUCCUGAAGAGAUUUAGGAGUGCUCGCAAGAGAACCUGCACACAGGUGCUGCAUGGCUGUCGUCAGCUCGUGUCGUGAGAUGUUGGGUUAAGUCCCGCAACGAGCGCAACCCUUGUCAUUAGUUGCUACGAAAGGGCACUCUAAUGAGACUGCCGGUGACAAACCGGAGGAAGGUGGGGAUGACGUCAAGUCCUCAUGGCCCUUAUGGGUAGGGCUUCACACGUCAUACAAUGGUACAUACAGAGGGCUGCCAACCCGCGAGGGGGAGCUAAUCCCAGAAAGUGUAUCGUAGUCCGGAUUGUAGUCUGCAACUCGACUACAUGAAGUUGGAAUCGCUAGUAAUCGCGGAUCAGCAUGUCGCGGUGAAUACGUUCCCGGGUCUUGUACACACCGCCCGUCACACCAUGGGAGCGGGUUCUGCCAGAAGUAGGUAGCCUAACCGUAAGGAGGGCGCUUACCACGGCAGGGUUCGUGACUGGGGUGAAGUCGUAACAAGGUAACC